GUCGUGUCUCAGCCUGGAGAGUGCGCGCACCGCCGCCCGGGCAGCCGCUGGCUCCAGCUCACGAAACAGCCCCGGGCGCCGCGCCGCUCCGAGUCCAGCCUCCUACUGAGAACAGUCCCUCCCUUGUGCGGGUCGCACGGCUAGCCGCAGGUUCGGCCACGUCAAAUCCAUUUUCUAAAAAAGCAGGGAGCAGAGCUCUCUCUUCGCCGCCGACGCAGAAAGGAGCUGGGGAGGAAAAAGCUGCUGCCUUUUGCGCUGGAGAUUCGUGGGCAAGGCUUCUCAUUUUCCCAGGCUGCUUCCCCUCCCGGGUGAGGAGCGUCCUAAGACUAAGGAAAGAGCCUGGAAAAUGGAGCAGACCUGGACGAGGAUGAAGACUUAGUGCUGGACCAAAAACAAAACAAAACAAAGAUCCCGAAACUUAAAGAAAUUGUUGUGGAUGCACGAUGAUUUUGUAGCUCACUGUAGCUAUUGGGGACUUAGCACUCCAGAAAACAGCCUCUCAG
RNAcentral lists this long non-coding RNA (503 nucleotides) under Homo sapiens (human). RNAcentral describes it as "lncAB29.1". The record is from RNAcentral. Lineage: Eukaryota; Metazoa; Chordata; Mammalia; Primates; Hominidae.